This 442-nucleotide ribosomal RNA is filed under the name uncultured bacterium. RNAcentral describes it as "bacterial SSU rRNA". It matches the Rfam family "Bacterial small subunit ribosomal RNA", at positions 19 to 507 of the family's 1533-position model. The record is from RNAcentral.
AUGGCUCAGAGCGAACGCUGGCGGCAGGCCUAACACAUGCAAGUCGAACGGAUCCUUCGGGAUUAGUGGCGGACGGGUGAGUAACACGUGGGAACGUGCCUUUUGGUUCGGAACAACUCAGGGAAACUUGAGCUAAUACCGAAUGUGCCCUUCGGGGGAAAGAUUUAUCGCCAUUAGAGCGGCCCGCGUCUGAUUAGCUAGUUGGUGAGGUAAAGGCUCACCAAGGCUACGAUCAGUAGCUGGUCUGAGAGGAUGAUCAGCCACAUUGGGACUGAGACACGGCCCAAACUCCUACGGGAGGCAGCAGUGGGGAAUCUUGCGCAAUGGGCGAAAGCCUGACGCAGCCAUGCCGCGUGAAUGAUGAAGGUCUUAGGAUUGUAAAAUUCUUUCACCGGGGACGAUAAUGACGGUACCCGGAGAAGAAGCCCCGGCUAACUUCGUG